Long non-coding RNA from Malaclemys terrapin pileata, 653 nucleotides. RefSeq lists it as uncharacterized. The record is from RefSeq and is a predicted model, not a curated record. The transcript is spliced from 2 exons. Lineage: Eukaryota; Metazoa; Chordata; Testudines; Emydidae.
AAGCACCUCAUGUAGAGGCGUGCAUUUUGGAUGAUGAAAGUGCACGAGACCAUGUGACCUAGUGUUUGUAGACAGUCUCGGACAGUCACCUGGGGACUGUUGAGAAUUUUUGUGGCCAGUCGGCUUAUGGAGUUGAAGCAGUCGGGUGGAAGAGAUGCCAAUCCCGUCCGGGAGUCGAGGUAUGCCCCUAUGAACUCCAGAUGGGUGGGGCAUAACGUGGAUUUGUUUUUGUUUAUUUGCAGGCCUAGAGAUAGGAAACAAUCGACGGUAAGCCGCAUGGAUUGGAGAGCUUCGUCGAACGUUGAAGCUUUGAGGAGGCAAUUGUCGAGGUGUCUGGAGACCUAAGGACCGGAGGGUUGCCCUUGAGUCCUUCAUUGAGUGAAGCACGUUGUUCGUGGCGGAAGCAAAACGUUUUUUACUGUCAAAGGGAAGAUCUUCAAUGGUGCUUUGGACCUCUCGAGGAAAGAAAGAGGAGGAGAGCCAUGAACCACGGCGCAUGACCACUGCUGUGGCGGUCGAUCUUGCUGCAGUGUUGGCUACAUCGAGGUCCGCUUGAAGAGCGGUACGUGAUAUGAUUUCUCCCUCGGAAACCAGAGCUGUGAAUUGUUGUUUUUUCUGUUCUGGGAUGUCGUCAAUAAAGUCCAUGAAUUUAU